GAUGAACGCUGGCGGCGUGCCUAAUACAUGCAAGUCGAGCGAAUGGAUUAAGAGCUUGCUCUUAUGAAGUUAGCGGCGGACGGGUGAGUAACACGUGGGUAACCUGCCCAUAAGACUGGGAUAACUCCGGGAAACCGGGGCUAAUACCGGAUAACAUUUUGAACCGCAUGGUUCGAAAUUGAAAGGCGGCUUCGGCUGUCACUUAUGGAUGGAUCCGCGUCCCAUUAGCUAGUUGGUGAGGUAACGGCUCACCAAGGCAACGAUGCGUAGCCGACCUGAGAGGGUGAUCGGCCACACUGGGACUGAGACACGGCCCAGACUCCUACGGGAGGCAGCAGUAGGGAAUCUUCCGAAAUGGACGAAAGUCUGACGGAGCAACGCCGCGUGAGUGAUGAAGGCUUUCGGGUCGUAAAACUCUGUUGUUAGGGAAGAACAAGUGCUAGUUGAAUAAGCUGGCACCUUGACGGUACCUAACCAGAAAGCCACGGCUAACUACGUGCCAGCCGCCGCGGUAA
Molecule: ribosomal RNA, 515 nt
Filed under: uncultured bacterium
Lineage: Bacteria
Description: partial 16S ribosomal RNA
Rfam family: Bacterial small subunit ribosomal RNA
Source: RNAcentral